Molecule: ribosomal RNA, 33 nt
Filed under: Calceolaria inflexa
Lineage: Eukaryota; Viridiplantae; Streptophyta; Magnoliopsida; Lamiales; Calceolariaceae
Description: partial 28S ribosomal RNA
Source: RNAcentral
GCGACCCCAGGUCAGGCGGGAUAACCCGCUGAA